GUGCCAGCACGCCUCGGUGAAUUCCAGCUCCAAUAGCGUAUAUUAAAGUUGUUGUGGUUAAAAAGCUCGUAGUUGAACCUUGGGCCUGGCUGGCCGGUCCGCCUCACCGCGUGCACUGGUCCGGCCGGACCUUUCCCUCUGUGGAACCCCAUACCCUUCACUGGGCGUGGCGGGGAAACAGGACAUUUACUUUGAAAAAAUUAGAGUGCUCCAGGCAGGCCUAUGCUCGAAUACAUUAGCAUGGAAUAAUAAAAUAGGACGCGCGGUUCUAUUUUGUUGGUUUAUAGGACCGCCGUAAUGAUUAAUAGGGACAGUCGGGGGCAUCAGUAUUCAACUGUCAGAGGUGAAAUUCUUGGAUCGGUUGAAGACUAACUACUGCGAAAGCAUUUGCCAAGGAUGUUUUCAUUAAUCAGGAACGAAAGUUAGGGGAUCGAAGACGAUCAGAUACCGUCGUAGUCUUAACCAUAAACUAUGCCGACUAGGGAUCGGACGGUGUUAUUCAUGACCCGUUCGGCACCUUACGAGAAAUCAAAGUGCUUGGGCUCCAGGGGGAGUAUGGUCGCAAGGCUGAAACUUAAAGAAAUUGACGGAAGGGCACCACCAGGGGUGGAGCCUGCGGCUUAAUUUGACUCAUACGGGGAAACUCACCAGGUCCAGACACAUAAGGAUUGACAGAUUGAGAGCUCUUUUCUUGAUUUUGUGGGUGGUGAUGCAUGGCCGUUCUUAGUUGGUGGGGGUGACUUGUCUGCUUAAUUGCGAUAACGAACGAGAUCU
RNAcentral lists this ribosomal RNA (774 nucleotides) under uncultured fungus. RNAcentral's name for it is "SSU rRNA". It matches the Rfam family "Eukaryotic small subunit ribosomal RNA", at positions 564 to 1343 of the family's 1831-position model. Lineage: Eukaryota; Fungi. The record is from RNAcentral.